RNAcentral lists this long non-coding RNA (5717 nucleotides) under Homo sapiens (human). RNAcentral's name for it is "long non-coding RNA NONHSAT200749.1". Lineage: Eukaryota; Metazoa; Chordata; Mammalia; Primates; Hominidae. The record is from RNAcentral.
UCGCUGCAGAAGCCUUCUGUCCCCUGCCUGCCCCGGAAAGCGGUGACAUCCCGGGGCUUUCCGCUCGCUGGAAGCCCCCCAGGAUCCUGUUAAGACGCCCCCGCAGAAGACGCGGGGCCUCGCCACACAUCGGGGGCCGAAGAGGACCUGGCGGGCUCCCCUCCCCGCCCCCACUGGGCGCCCAGCCUCCGGACUGCCUUCCUCAGGGACCCCGGGGCUCCCCAGUACGGGGGCGCGGCGCCUGGCUCCCCGGGCGAGAGGCGCCGGCGAAGUUCCCACCUGAGCCGGCGGCCGGAUGAGUUCACUUUCUUUCUCUCCCCCGCGCUCCCCCUCUCCCCGCCCGCCGGCCCCUCCAGCCUCCUCCAAGGCGGCGGACCAGGCCGGGCCGGAGUUUUCGGGGUUCAGCCCGCGAGCGGGAGGACCGGGGAGGCGAGGGAGGAGGAAGGCGAGAAGGGCCAUGUGCGAGGGAGAGGAGGAGAGGAGAGGAGCCUACCAUGCGCUUCCCCCGGUGCAGAUCGCGGGAGAGCCCAAUCACGGGGCGAGCUGGACCUGGCUGUGAUCAUUUAUAAUCCUUGACUCCUCCGCUCCGCCACUUGUCAAGAUGACAAUGCUGUGACCAAUCAGUGCCUUUACUACUCUCGCCGUGAUUUAGGGGUCAUCCGUGAAUAACACUUCACGCUGAUGAAUGGCUCUUGCCGGCUUUCGGCUCUGAUGAGGGGUCUGCCCGCCGCCGAUUGAAAACACUAAUGAACUUACUGCGCCAUUUGAAAUUCACACGCACCAACAAAAUGGGGGGUGGGCAUUUCAGGUCAGCUGAGUCACCCGAGGAGGUGGCAGUGCAAGACACUGCCGGGAAGACGGAUUCCGAGGCAGAAGGGUGUAAUUAAGGAUUUCCACCCCCGGUAGGCGGCCCGUCCUUUGCAGAGCCUCUGAAAAUGACCCGCGCCUUCCUUUCCACAGUGUUCUUUCGUCCGAGACCGAAAAGCGCAAAUGACCUUUGGACAGGGAAGGGAGGCAGUAAACACUCAGACUUCCUUACCAGCCCCUGGUGGGCACUGCAGCAGAACAAUUGUCUGCCCCCCAGGUUCAAGCACCUAGGCCUCCGCCCCGCAUCACCUGGCCAGGGGCGGACCCGGGAGUCCUCCGAAGGCUCCACUCCCCACUUUUACUACUCUUCUUUCCUCUCCAUUCUCCCCUCAGAUUAGCGGCCGGACACUGUCCCUGCCUCGAUUUUGUUUGCUGUGGGAGGGAAAAAAAAAGUUUGCUGCUCCUCCCAAGACACUGGCCACUUUCUACUCACUGAAGUUCCCACCGCAGCGCUGGCUCCCGGCUCCCUAGCUCCCGCCCCCUGUCUGCAGGAAAGCCCUCCCCCGGAGCUUCCGAAACUGCUGGAGGUUCCAGAGUUUUGUAGCUCCGAAUGGGCGACCUGAGCCGAACCGCUCUCUGGCUGGGUGGUCGGCGGGAUCCUUCAGGCUCCUUUCGGGUCCGGGACGGGGCGGCGGCAGAGGUGGGGCGUGCGUGCUUGGGGCUGCCGAGUGAGUGCGGCUCCCUGGUGCGCGCCCGAGCAUCUCCCCGCCCUCUCCUGGGACCAGCAGUCUGCCCGUGGAGGGCUAGGAGCCCGCGACCAGGCCUGCCCCGGCCGUCGCCAACCUGUCCUUGGAAGCGUGGCGGAGACUGGUGCGCUCUCAGCCUCGUCGCGCCAGCCGCCUCGCGCCACCCUCCACUUUCAGCUUCAGAGCAGAGGAUUCCGCCGACCUCCACCUGUACCUGUACUCGGCCGUUAGGAAAUCCACUUGCAUUUUUAACUACCGUGCAGAACCAGAAACAGAUCGAGCACUGGGAGAACAAGGACGACGCCUCCUAGGAAAGCCUGAACCUUUAUGUUAGUUUAUCCAAAGUUUGGGCUAGAAGUGAGGAGAAUCCCUAAACUCGAGGUGGUGUGCCCAGACCCACAGCCCGUGUUCCCGAAGUUGCUAAGUGCCCGAGCGCAGCGCGUUAAGUAGAGAAGUCUUGGUAGUAAGCGAACCCGACCCGGCUCUCGGGGCGCUAGUGACGGAAAGCAGCACGCAUAUCUUUGCGGGAAGAAUCUAGAGUCGCCCUGGGAUAGAUCCAUCUCCUUCUGCCACUGAAUUUCACACUUGAAAAAGAUAAGGUCAUGGGGGCGGAUGAAUGAUAUCCCUCACUCAUUUAGCCAUUCUUAUUAUUAUAUAAAAAAAAGGCUUGUCAAUUAUGAAGGUGUGUCCCAGAUAUUACAUGAAGAUCAUGCAAACUACUUGAAAUUUGAAUCCGGACAUGAUCGUAAGGAAACUCUUUCAUAAAGCACUUUUGUGGCCUAGUUCCCACACACACACAAAAGUAUUAGGUCUUUAAAACUUUUCCAAGUAGUAAGUGAGACUCCCUCUUACUGUCUACGAAUACACAAUAAAGAGAUGAGACACUGCCCCAAUCCUAAAGAGGCCAGAACUGAAGUGCUACAUUGUGUGAGUUAGGGGAUGCUUCUUUUUUCCAGCUCUUUUUUCUAGAAUCCUCAUUACAGCUAACGCUGGUAAUAAAGGUAGGAAAACAAUAGAACUCAUAAAACUUAGAAAUGGUAAUAAAUCUUGGCUCCUGUCUCUAGCCCAGUUCCUUCUUACAUGAGAUUCAAAGUUUUUCAGUAUGCAAUGCUGAACGUUCACACUAUGGUUGCAAAGAAGUUCCAUCAUUUGAGGCCGUUAGGAAAAGCUGAUGUUGUGCAGUGCCAAACUACCACACGCUUCCUCCUUCGGAUGAAUCCCUGGAAAGCAGAGAGGCAGCUCGCUACGUGACCAUCAUGCUUUUUACCUCACUGAGCUGUUGUCAAGAGAGGGCGGGGAUGGCGGGCAGCUCACGUCGUGCCCUCCGCAGCAAUAAAAACUGGAGCGGGAGAAGAAAUGCAAGACAUCGCUGUCUGUUUUGCAAGCCUCUGGCCGCUCUCAGCAAACUCUGCCCGGCGCGGCUGGUGACUUUGCGGGUUGGGGAGAAAGCUGAAUGCCUUUGACACUGCCUGUACCACUUUAUCUGCCUUCCUGCCUCUUGAUAACACUGGGAGUACUUGAAGGAGAAUGCUGCGGUUUCACAGAGCCAACAUUAUUCUCUACCUCCCCUUCCUCUUCCUCUUUCUUUAUGGAUGGCAAACAGCGUUCAGAUGACAGAUUUUGGAAAAUUGUCUUAGGAGACGCAUUCUCAGGCAGUUCCAGUGUAUUGGUAUUUUGGAUGUUUCUCUGCAUUUUGUCAUACGGUUCAGAAGGGUGAUAGGCUUUCUGUGAACUGCUGGGCUUCAAGAAGGCUAUUAUCUUCCACUCAGGUUUAAUGGAGGAAUUUAUGGGAUUUUGCCACCUUGUGAGGUUCAGUGCUAGAAUUUCUGCGUUGGAUGGAUCAAGAAUCUACGGGGAGCCAAGUCACUUAAAAGUAUCAGCCUGAGGGUAAAAGGUGAAGUGACAUCUUUACUGAGACCUUCCCGGUCAGAUGCAAUCGGAUUGACUGAAAGCUCUCAGAACGAAACGAAAUUCUCCCACCUGGGCAGCACGUGCUGGCCAGAGAAAUGACUGAUGAGGAGUCAGCUCUGCACUACUGCUGGACAACAAUUUCAACAUCUCAUUUAAAACUAAAGCAGUGAGUUAAGGUGGUUUCUGAAUUAUGUAUUAAACUCAGCUUCCAGAUAUGUUAUUCCCAAUAUUCCCUUCAUCUAAUGAAGUUCCUCCAAAUUUCAUGAUCCUUGUGACAAUCCACCCCAGACUAUGGUGAGAGACCCAGAGCUGCAGCAGUUUUGGUUGUGGUUAUUCUGACAUUGACCCGAAGGGAGCAAGAAUGUUUCUCAGGAGCCCUUGCCUGGACUCCCCUUCCAGACCACAACUUCCCCGGUGAUAUGGGACCCUGGAGGAGGAAGUCUACAAUGUGGGAGAGAUGAGUUACCAGGAAGAUAACCUUUGCACUCAGAAGGCUUGCGAACCCCAGAGGAGACUGUCUGUCUGAGAGAUCACCUUACCCACACUGUGGAAUAAAAAUAUUGCCUCUGACAUUAGGGAACUGGCAUUCCCCUCCUCCACUGUUUGAAAAGCACAGACUUUAAACAGAUCUUCAUGGUCACCUCACCCCUGAUGGUGAGCAUCCACAGGAAAAAGAUUGGUCCCAGGGUAGGAUUGCAUCCUGCAAGAAGAUGCUGAAGUCCUACCCCCUAGUACCUGUGAAUGUGAGAUCGGGUCUCAUAUUCACAAAAUGUGGUACAGAGACACAAUGAAAUACUAAGCAACCGGCUGGGCAUGGCGGCCCAUGCCCAUAACCCCAGCACUUUGGGAGGCUGAGGAGGCAGAUCACCUGACGUCAGGAGUUGGAGACUAGCUUGGCCAACGUGGCAAAACCCCACCUCUACUAAAAAUACAAAAACUAGCCGGGCAUGGUGGUGCUUGCCUGUAAUCACAGCUACUCGGGAGGCUGAGGCACAAGAAUGGCUUGAACCUGGGAGGUGGAGUUUGCAGUGAGCCAAGAUUGUGCCACUGUGCUUCAGCCUGGGCAACAGAGUGAGACCCUGUCUCAAAAAACAAUGGUCAUAUUAAAAUGAGGUCAUUAGGGUAGGCCUAAUCCCAAUAUGACUGAUGUCCUUAUAAAAAGGGAAUUCUACACACAGACAGGCAAACAGAGAGAGAAGACAUUGUGAACACACAGGGAGAAUGCCGGCUACAAGCAAAGGAAUGCCUGAGCCUACUAGAAGCAAGGAGAGUAGCCGUCAGAAGAAACCAACCUUGCUGACACCUUGAUUUUCGACUUGUAGCCACUAGAACUGUCAGACAAUAAUUUUCUAUCAUGUAGGCCACCCAGUUUGUGGUACUUUGUUAUGGCAGACCAAGGAAACACAUGUAUCCUCCAUUUCUGUCUUACAUUCCAUAUGCAGUCUUUUAGCCUUUCUUGUUGGUUCCGGCUUCCAUAUUUAUCCACAAGUGUCUGCUCACCCCCUCCUCUGCUACCACUGCGCACUGUGCCUGAGUCCCUCCAUCUCUCACCUGGCUCCCUGCAGUAGCUGCCUAACCAGUCCCCCUGCUUGUACCUUGGUCUCCUCACAACCUACUUCCAACAUGGUAGCCAGAGUGGUGCUCUUAAAACAGUAGUAACUGCACUCAGAUGUUUAUCGCAGCACUAUUCAAAACAGCAAAGUCAUGGAACCAACCUAAGUGUCCACCAACAGUUAACUGGAUAAACAAAAUGUGGCACAUAGACACAGUGAAAUACUAAGCAAUCGGCCGGGCAUGGUGGCUCAUGUAUGUAAUCCCAGUACUUUAGGGGGCUGAGGAGGGCAGAUCACCUGAGGUCAGGAGUUGGAGAACAGCUUGGCCAACAUGGCGAAACCCUGUCUCUACUGAAAAUACAAAAAUUAGCCAGGCUUGGUGGUGCUUGCCUGUAAUCGCAGCUACUCGGGAGGCUGAGGCACGAGAAUAGCUUGAACCUGGGAGGUGGAGGUUGUAGUGAGCUAAGAUUGUGCCACUGCACUCCAGCCUGGGCAACAGAGUGAGACCCUGUUUGAUCACAAACUCCUGGAAGGCAAGACAUGUGUAUGUUACACAGCUCACAGGCAAACGAUUGAUAUACAAUCGGUUUUAGGAUGGAGAGAAGUUGAAGCCAACCCAGUCUGAGUGGUAAGGGUGAAAGAGAGACAUUUUAUCGUAAUAAAAGUCUUCAUUGAUUAGGAACUUAGAACAGCUCCAACA